ACACGGGGAGGAUUGACAGANUGAGAGCUCUUUCUUGAUUCUGUGGGUGGUGGUGCAUGGCCGUUCUUAGUUGGUGGGUUGCCUUGUCAGGUUGAUUCCGGUAACGAACGAGACCUCAGCCUGCUAAAUAGUCACGUCUGCCUCUCGCAGCCGGCCGACUUCUUAGAGGGACUAUUGUCGUUUAGGCAAUGGAAGUAUGAGGCAAUAACAGGUCUGCGAUGCCCUUAGAUGUUCUGGGCCGCACGCGCGCUACACUGAUGCGUUCAACGAGCCUAUCCUUGACCGAGAGGUCCGGGUAAUCUUCGAAACCGCAUCGUGAUGGGGAUAGAUUAUUGCAAUUAUUAGUCUUCAACGAGGAAUGCCUAGUAAGCGCGAGUCAUCAGCUCGCGUUGAUUACGUCCCUGCCCUUCGUACACACCGCCCGUCGCUCCUACCGAUUGAGCGUGCUGGUGAAGUGUUGGGAUCGGCCUCAGCUGGUGGCAACACCGGUUGUGGCUGAGAACAUCAUUGAACCCUCCCGCUUAGAGGAAGGAGAAGUCGUAACAAGGU
RNAcentral lists this ribosomal RNA (549 nucleotides) under uncultured Chlorophyta. RNAcentral describes it as "SSU rRNA". It matches the Rfam family "Eukaryotic small subunit ribosomal RNA", at positions 1228 to 1800 of the family's 1831-position model. The record is from RNAcentral. Lineage: Eukaryota; Viridiplantae; Chlorophyta.